Molecule: ribosomal RNA, 468 nt
Filed under: uncultured bacterium
Lineage: Bacteria
Description: partial 16S ribosomal RNA
Rfam family: Bacterial small subunit ribosomal RNA
Source: RNAcentral
GACGAACGCUGGCGGCGUGCUUAACACAUGCAAGUCGAACGGAAAGGCCCUGCUUUUGUGGGGUGCUCGAGUGGCGAACGGGUGAGUAACACGUGUGUAACCUGCCCUUGACUUUGGGAUAACUUCAGGAAACUGGGGCUAAUAUCGGACAGGAGCCCCUGCUGCAUGGUGGGGGUUGGAAAGUUUCGGCGGUUGGGGAUGGACUCGCGGCUUAUCAGCUUGUUGGUGGGGUAGUGGCUUACCAAGGCUUUGACGGGUAGCCGGCCUGAGAGGGUGACCGGCCACAUUGGGACUGAGAUACGGCCCAGACUCCUACGGGAGGCAGCAGUGGGGAAUAUUGCACAAUGGGCGGAAGCCUGAUGCAGCGACGCCGCGUGCGGGAUGACGGCCUUCGGGUUGUAAACCGCUUUCGCCUGUGACGAAGCGUGAGUGACGGUAAUGGGUAAAGAAGCACCGGCUAACUACGUG